CAGCUAAGCUUAAUGGAGCACUUAUUGGUCCACAGGCUGCUUCAGAUUGGUUAUAUGUAUAUCCAAAAGGAAUUCACGAUCUUGUGCUCUACACAAAGGAAAAA
Malus domestica (apple) is the source of this 104-nucleotide non-coding RNA. The record is from RefSeq and is a predicted model, not a curated record. Lineage: Eukaryota; Viridiplantae; Streptophyta; Magnoliopsida; Rosales; Rosaceae.